Molecule: ribosomal RNA, 253 nt
Filed under: uncultured bacterium
Lineage: Bacteria
Description: partial 16S ribosomal RNA
Rfam family: Bacterial small subunit ribosomal RNA
Source: RNAcentral
UACGUAGGGGGCAAGCGUUGUCCGGAAUUAUUGGGCGUAAAGAGCGUGUAGGCGGUCCGGUAAGUCAGCUGUGAAAGUCAAGGGCUCAACCCUUGAAAGCCGGUUGAUACUGUCGGGCUAGAGUCCGGAAGAGGCGAGUGGAAUUCCCGGUGUAGCGGUGAAAUGCGCAGAUAUCGGGAGGAACACCAAUGGCGAAGGCAGCUCGCUGGGACGGUACUGACGCUGAGACGCGAAAGCGUGGGGAGCAAAUAGG